Molecule: small nuclear RNA, 107 nt
Organism: Capra hircus (goat)
Lineage: Eukaryota; Metazoa; Chordata; Mammalia; Artiodactyla; Bovidae
Source: Ensembl
GUGCUCACUUCAGAAGCACAUAUGCUAAACACUGGAACAACAGGCGAAGACUAGCAUAGCUCCUUCACAAACAUGACAUGCAAAUUUAUGAGGUAUCCCGUGUUUGG